Molecule: ribosomal RNA, 253 nt
Filed under: uncultured bacterium
Lineage: Bacteria
Description: partial 16S ribosomal RNA
Rfam family: Bacterial small subunit ribosomal RNA
Source: RNAcentral
UACAGAGGGUGCAAGCGUUAAUCGGAAUUACUGGGCGUAAAGCGUGCGUAGUCGGCUUUUCAAGUCGGGUGUGAAAGCCCCGGGCUCAACCUGGGAAUUGCAUUCGAUACUGGAUCGCUAGAGUUCGGCAGAGGGAAGCGGAAUUUCGGGUGUAGCGGUGAAAUGCGUAGAUAUCCGAAGGAACAUCAGUGGCGAAAGCGGCUUCCUGGACCAGAACUGACGAUCAGGCACGAAAGCGUGGGGAGCAAACAGG